This 372-nucleotide ribosomal RNA is filed under the name uncultured bacterium. Its description in RNAcentral is "bacterial SSU rRNA". It matches the Rfam family "Bacterial small subunit ribosomal RNA", at positions 527 to 896 of the family's 1533-position model. The record is from RNAcentral.
GUAGGUGGCAAGCGUUGUCCGGAUUUAUUGGGCGUAAAGGGAGCGCAGGCGGUCUUUUAAGUCUGAAUGUGAAAGCCCUCAGCUUAACUGAGGAAGAGCAUCGGAAACUGAGAGACUUGAGUGCAGAAGAGGAGAGUGGAACUCCAUGCGUAGCGGUGAAAUGCGUAGAUAUAUGGAAGAACACCAGUGGCGAAGGCGGCUCUCUGGUCUGUUACUGACGCUGAGGCUCGAAAGCAUGGGUAGCGAACAGGAUUAGAUACCCUGGUAGUCCAUGCCGUAAACGAUGAGUGCUAAGUGUUGGGAGGUUUCCGCCUCUCAGUGCUGCAGCUAACGCAUUAAGCACUCCGCCUGGGGAGUACGACCGCAAGGUUG